UAUUUUAGUCUUGUUAGAGGAACCUGUUUUAUAAUCGAUAAGCCACGUACAUCUUACUUAUUUUAAAUAAUUUGUAUACCGUCAUUAUUAGAUAACUUUCAAAAAAUUAGUUAUUAAAAUUAAAUAAAAUUAAAUAUAUUAGAUCAAGGUGCAGUUAAUAAAUAAGAAAAAAUGGGUUACAAUAAAAUUUAUUUAAAACGAAUUAUAUAAAUGUAAAAAUAUAUGAAGGAGGAUUUAAUUGUAAUUUUUUAUAAAAUAAUAAUAUGAUAAUAGCUCUAAAAUAU
This 284-nucleotide ribosomal RNA is filed under the name Aegla jarai. Its description in RNAcentral is "partial 12S small subunit ribosomal RNA". Lineage: Eukaryota; Metazoa; Arthropoda; Malacostraca; Decapoda; Aeglidae. The record is from RNAcentral.